This 254-nucleotide ribosomal RNA is filed under the name uncultured Flavobacterium sp. RNAcentral's name for it is "partial 16S ribosomal RNA". It matches the Rfam family "Bacterial small subunit ribosomal RNA", at positions 1 to 260 of the family's 1533-position model. Lineage: Bacteria; Pseudomonadati; Bacteroidota; Flavobacteriia; Flavobacteriales; Flavobacteriaceae. The record is from RNAcentral.
CAUGGAGUUUGAUCCUGGCUCAGGAUGAACGCUAGCGGCAGGCUUAACACAUGCAAGUCGAGGGGUAUAGUUCUUCGGAACUAGAGACCGGCGCACGGGUGCGUAACGCGUAUGCAAUCUACCUUUUACAGAGGGAUAGCCCAGAGAAAUUUGGAUUAAUACCUCAUAGUAUGUGAGAAUCGCAUGGUUUUUCACAUUAAAGUUCCAACGGUAAAACGAUGAGCAUGCGUCCCAUUAGCUAGAUGGUAAGGUAA